CUUAACACAUGCAAGUCGAGGGGCAUCAGGAAGAAAGCUUGCUUUCUUUGCUGGCGACCGGCGCACGGGUGAGUAACACGUAUCCAACCUGCCCUUUACUCGGGGAUAGCCUUUCGAAAGAAAGAUUAAUACCCGAUGGCAUAAUGAUUCCGCAUGGUUUCAUUAUUAAAGGAUUCCGGUAAGGGAUGGGGAUGCGUUCCAUUAGGUUGUUGGUGAGGUAGCGGCUCACCAAGCCUUCGAUGGAUAGGGGUUCUGAGAGGAAGGUCCCCCACAUUGGAACUGAGACACGGUCCAAACUCCUACGGGAGGCAGCAGUGAGGAAUAUUGGUCAAUGGGCGCUAGCCUGAACCAGCCAAGUAGCGUGAAGGAUGAAGGCUCUAUGGGUCGUAAACUUCUUUUAUAUAAGAAUAAAGUGCAGUAUGUAUACUGUUUUGUAUGUAUUAUAUGAAUAAGGAUCGGCUAACUCCGUGCCAGCAGCCGCGGUAAUACGGAGGAUCCGAGCGUUAUCCGGAUUUAUUGGGUUUAAAGGGAGCGUAGGUGGACUGGUAAGUCAGUUGUGAAAGUUUGCGGCUCAACCGUAAAAUUGCAGUUGAUACUGUCAGUCUUGAGUACAGUAGAGGUGGGCGGAAUUCGUGGUGUAGCGGUGAAAUGCUUAGAUAUCACGAAGAACUCCGAUUGCGAAGGCAGCUCACUGGACUGCAACUGACACUGAUGCUCGAAAGUGUGGGUAUCAAACAGGAUUAGAUACCCUGGUAGUCCACACAGUAAACGAUGAAUACUCGCUGUUUGCGAUAUACAGUAAGCGGCCAAGCGAAAGCAUUAAGUAUUCCACCUGGGGAGUACGCCGGCAACGGUGAAACUCAAAGGAAUUGACGGGGGCCCGCACAAGCGGAGGAACAUGUGGUUUAAUUCGAUGAUACGCGAGGAACCUUACCCGGGCUUAAAUUGCAGUGGAAUGAUGUGGAAACAUGUCAGUGAGCAAUCACCGCUGUGAAGGUGCUGCAUGGUUGUCGUCAGCUCGUGCCGUGAGGUGUCGGCUUAAGUGCCAUAACGAGCGCAACCCUUAUCUUUAGUUACUAACAGGUUAUGCUGAGGACUCUAGAGAGACUGCCGUCGUAAGAUGUGAGGAAGGUGGGGAUGACGUCAAAUCAGCACGGCCCUUACGUCCGGGGCUACACACGUGUUACAAUGGGGGGUACAGAAGGCAGCUAGCGGGUGACCGUAUGCUAAUCCCAAAAGCCUCUCUCAGUUCGGAUCGAAGUCUGCAACCCGACUUCGUGAAGCUGGAUUCGCUAGUAAUCGCGCAUCAGCCACGGCGCGGUGAAUACGUUCCCGGGCCUUGUACACACCGCCCGUCAAGCCAUGGGAGCCGGGGGUACCUGAAGUACGUAACCGCAAGGAUCGUCCUAGGGUAAAACUGGUGACUGGGGCUAAGUCAU
Molecule: ribosomal RNA, 1439 nt
Filed under: uncultured organism
Description: SSU rRNA
Rfam family: Bacterial small subunit ribosomal RNA
Source: RNAcentral